RNAcentral lists this ribosomal RNA (903 nucleotides) under Hyphoderma subtestaceum. RNAcentral describes it as "LSU rRNA". It matches the Rfam family "Eukaryotic large subunit ribosomal RNA", at positions 74 to 964 of the family's 3401-position model. Lineage: Eukaryota; Fungi; Basidiomycota; Agaricomycetes; Polyporales; Hyphodermataceae. The record is from RNAcentral.
AUUCCCCUAGUAACUGCGAGUGAAGCGGGAAGAGCUCAAAUUUAAAAUCUGGCAGUCUUUGGCUGUCCGAGUUGUAGUCUGGAGAAGUGUUUUCCGUGCUGGACCGUGUACAAGUUUCUUGGAAUAGAACAUCAUAGAGGGUGAGAAUCCCGUCUUUGACACGGACUGCCAGUGCUUUGUGAUGCGCUCUCAAAGAGUCGAGUUGUUUGGGAAUGCAGCUCAAAAUGGGUGGUAAAUUCCAUCUAAAGCUAAAUAUUGGCGAGAGACCGAUAGCGAACAAGUACCGUGAGGGAAAGAUGAAAAGCACUUUGGAAAGAGAGUUAAACAGUACGUGAAAUUGUUGAAAGGGAAACACUUGAAGUCAGUCGCGUUGUUCAGAACUCAGCCUGGCUCCCGCCUGGUGUAUUUUUUGUUCAACGGGCCAGCAUCAAUUUUGAUCAUUGGAAAAAGGCCAGGGGAAUGUGGCACCUUCGGGUGUGUUAUAGCCUCUGGUUGCAUACAAUGGUUGGGAUUGAGGAUCUCAGCAUGCCUUUUGGCCGGGGUUCGCCCACGUUCAUGCUUAGGAUGCUGGCGUAAUGGCUUUAAAUGACCCGUCUUGAAACACGGACCAAGGAGUCUAACAUACCUGCGAGUGUUUGGGUGGAAAACCCGAGCGCGUAAUGAAAGUGAAAGUUGGGAUCCCUGUCGUGGGGAGCACCGACGCCCGGACCUGACCUUCUGUGACGGCUCUGCGGUAGAGCAUGUAUGUUGGGACCCGAAAGAUGGUGAACUAUGCCUGAAUAGGGUGAAGCCAGAGGAAACUCUGGUGGAGGCUCGUAGCGAUUCUGACGUGCAAAUCGAUCGUCAAAUUUGGGUAUAGGGGCGAAAGACUAAUCGAACCAUCUAGUAGCUGGUUCCUGCCGA